CGAAAAAGGUUGCGACGAUGCUAAAAGCAUGUGAGUUCACACAAUCAACCUUAUUGUGCAAGAUGCUCUAAAAUUUCCCGAUUUCGACGUAAUUCUUACAAAAUGUAAGUCGGUAGUUGGCUUUUUUAAUAGAAGCCAGAUCGCAUAUUCAAAAUUUAAGGAAGCUCAGGGGGACAAUCCGCAUUCUCUUCUGCAAGAAAUGCCAACUCGCUGGAACAGCGCAUACGAAAUGAUUAAGCGCAUACUGAAGACAACCGAAUUUAUUACAUUAGCUUUGGUAUCUUCUCGUGGCGCUCCAUUGCCGUUUUCAGUAGCAGAAGUGGAUAUUUUAAAUGAUAUAUCCGAGUUGCUAUCCCCCUUCGAAGAGGUGACGCUUUCUGUGUCUACAAACACAAAAGUACCAGCGUCCAUAAUUAUCCCUGUCAUAUGCGAACUAAAUCAUAAAAUAAACCAUGUUAAAGUCAACACAGAAAAAGGCAAAAACAUAUUGACGACCAUAAAGUUUAGUCUUACCAAGAGGCUCGCAAGCUAUGAACCACACACAAUACCACGAAUUGCUACCAUACUAGAUCCCCGCUUUAAGAAACACGGAUUUUGUAAUCCCUUUAAUGCGGAAGAAGGUGCCAAAGCUGUGCAGCAUGAACUGUUUACAAAACUACCCGCAAGCCCACUACAUCCGCCAACAUCACCAACACAGGAACCAAGCCGAUUUUUCUACAAGUCAAAAGCCCAAACAAGGUGCACUCUUCCUGGGCAGAUGCCAUUAUACUGAUGAGACAGCAUUUUGGAAAGGAGAACCAGCCGGAAAAAUGUGACCCUCUUGCGUACUGGCAGAUUACUACAGAUGGCGACGCGUUUAAAACGUUAGCUAAAAAAUACUUCUUCGUGCGCAUCUGUGCGAAAGAGUUUUCAGUUAAGCUGGACAACUUAUAAGUGAGCGUCGCACGCGGCUAUCAUCGACCGUUGUCGAUAAGCUCCUCUUCUUAAACAAAAACAAACAUGUAAAUAAUAUGUAAAUAUAUGUAUAUAGUAGAGUUCGGGAUAGUAAGCAAGGAUAGUAAAGUAGGGAUAGUAAGUAAGGAUAGUAAAAUAAGCAAUAGUAUAGUAGGGAUAGCACAAUAUCCUAAAGAACUAUUAUUUUCUUUGGACCAUGUAUAUAUUGAAACAUUGAUAUUCAAUUUGUUUUUGUUUUCAGUUUUUAUUUACAAACUAAGGAUAGGACAAUAUACCAAAGAAGUGGAACAUGAAUAUCAUAAACAAUUUUAUUGUAAUUUGUUUUUCGUUUUCUUUUUUAUUUAAUAAGUGAUUAAUAAAAUGGAUAUUUUUUGUUGAAAA
Long non-coding RNA from Bactrocera neohumeralis, 1335 nucleotides. RefSeq lists it as uncharacterized. The record is from RefSeq and is a predicted model, not a curated record. The transcript is spliced from 2 exons. NCBI's taxonomy places the organism in Eukaryota, Metazoa, Arthropoda, Insecta, Diptera, Tephritidae.